GUUUCUGUAGCUGUAGUGGUUAUCACGUUCGCCCUCCACUCGCGAAAGGUCCCCGGUUCGAAACCGGGGCAGAAACA
Molecule: non-coding RNA, 77 nt
Organism: Merluccius polli (Benguela hake)
Lineage: Eukaryota; Metazoa; Chordata; Actinopteri; Gadiformes; Merlucciidae
Source: the annotation of a GenBank genome assembly